CCAACCUGCAGCCAGUUGUUGAGGCAGCCCCGUGUCUGCGCGGCCUGUUCCCUCACUGGGAGUCAUCUAAUCUCAUCUAAACUCUGCUGUCUCUCCACAGGUGUCCUCCUCGGUAGUAUAGUGUGGUGAAAUCAACAUUAAUCCCAUGUGGUAAGAGGGUUCCAGGCUGAACUGCUGUGCUUUUCCAGCACCAUACUCUUCAACUGCGAUCUCCAGCAUCUGCUGUGCUCACUUUCCCGUAGUUAGUAAUAACACGGUUGGAGUGAGACAAGUGUUGCGGGACUGGCCUGU
Hemiscyllium ocellatum (epaulette shark) is the source of this 291-nucleotide long non-coding RNA. RefSeq lists it as uncharacterized. NCBI's taxonomy places the organism in Eukaryota, Metazoa, Chordata, Chondrichthyes, Orectolobiformes, Hemiscylliidae. The transcript is spliced from 3 exons. The record is from RefSeq and is a predicted model, not a curated record.